GUUGCAUCAUCCUAUAACUCAUACAAUCCGACAUCUCCGCACUUGACCAAUGCUUGAAAUUCUUGAGAAGGAAUUCUACAGCAUGAGACUCUAUCUUGAUCAUCCUACCAUCUGGGUGUUCACCAUACAUCAUAUAGCCCUUUGAGUUUCAGAGUACCCGAUGAACACCAGCUUGCUUGCUCUAGGGCCAACUUUUUUGAAUCUAUGUAAAGAGCUAUGAACAUAUCUAGCCGAACCCCAAUGACGUAAAUAGUGUAAACUCGGCUUCAUGCCACUCCAUAACUUAUGCGGGAC
This 294-nucleotide long non-coding RNA is filed under the name Elaeis guineensis (African oil palm). RNAcentral's name for it is "long non-coding RNA (EGUI_LNC023551)". Lineage: Eukaryota; Viridiplantae; Streptophyta; Magnoliopsida; Arecales; Arecaceae. The record is from RNAcentral.